Molecule: ribosomal RNA, 523 nt
Filed under: uncultured bacterium
Lineage: Bacteria
Description: partial 16S ribosomal RNA
Rfam family: Bacterial small subunit ribosomal RNA
Source: RNAcentral
GACGAACGCUGGCGGCGUGCCUAAUACAUGCAAGUCGAACGCUUUUUCUUUCACCGGAGCUUGCUCCACCGAAAGAAAAAGAGUGGCGAACGGGUGAGUAACACGUGGGUAACCUGCCCAUCAGAAGGGGAUAACACUUGGAAACAGGUGCUAAUACCGUAUAACACUAUUUUCCGCAUGGAAGAAAGUUGAAAGGCGCUUUUGCGUCACUGAUGGAUGGACCCGCGGUGCAUUAGCUAGUUGGUGAGGUAACGGCUCACCAAGGCAACGAUGCAUAGCCGACCUGGGAGGGUGAUCGGCCACACUGGGACUGAGACACGGCCCAGACUCCUACGGGAGGCAGCAGUAGGGAAUCUUCGGCAAUGGACGAAAGUCUGACCGAGCAACGCCGCGUGAGUGAAGAAGGUUUUCGGAUCGCAAAACUCUGUUGUUAGAGAAGAACAAGGAUGAGAGUAGAACGUUCAUCCCUUGACGGUAUCUAACCAGAAAGCCACGGCUAACUACGUGCCAGCCGCCGCCGUAA